UACGUAGGGUGCGAGCGUUGUCCGGAAUUAUUGGGCGUAAAGAGCUCGUAGGCGGUCUGUUGCGUCGGCCGUGAAAACCUGCAGCUUAACUGUGGGCCUGCGGCCGAUACGGGCAGACUUGAGUUCGGUAGGGGAGACUGGAAUUCCUGGUGUAGCGGUGAAAUGUGUAGAGAUCGGGAGGAACACCGGUGGCGAAGGCGGCAUCCUGGACCGGUAUUGACGCUGAGGAGCGAAAGCCAGGGGAGCAAACGGG
Molecule: ribosomal RNA, 253 nt
Filed under: uncultured bacterium
Lineage: Bacteria
Description: partial 16S ribosomal RNA
Rfam family: Bacterial small subunit ribosomal RNA
Source: RNAcentral